AUUUUGCUUUCCUGCUUCUUUUCAUGUUUCAUUAUUAUUUUGCUGGAAUACUUUAGAUAGUAUAUUGGAGCAAUUCUGGGUACUAGUCCCAACUCCCACAAAGGGCUUGUUAUUUUCUUGUUUAUUUGUAUAGUGAAUGGCUGGAUUGUUUUAGUGAAAUCUGUUCAUUCCUCCCCACCCCAACAUUUGCUGUUGCUCCUUAAGGCAGGAAUGGCCUGAGGUUUACACACAGUCACUGUGAGGACAGUGCUUUGGGCAGUCCCUUCUUCUCUCCAUGAGCUCACCUGGCUAUUAAGCUUCAUUAAUUGCUGGCCGGUUGCUGUGAUGCUCUUAACAAUGUCUUUGGGCUAAUUGCUCUACAGGUUAAUUCAAUCCAAUUUGAGCUCCUCAUGAAUGACUCUGGGGAUCAGUUUUGAUAUUUGCUCUGACCCCGGUAUCUCUUUAUCAGGUUCCCUGCUUUUCCUUCCCAAAUAAUCUCUGAGCCAUAACUGUUCAGUUGGAAGUAGGGCUGUUGGGUAACACCAGGUGACACCCCACUUUAGGAGCUGGGAACUUGGUGGGUAGGGGUGGGAAGUAGCUUCAGGUUUUCUCAUCCUGCCUCUGUUGAUUCUCACCAAUGACAUUCUGCCCAAGAUACAGCCUUCAUCCCAUGAAUGGUGGCAAGGGAGCCCCGCCUCCUAGUUACACUCACCUUGAGCCUCAGGCAGCUGGAGGCAGGAUAAGAGAUGCUAGGAACUUGCUGUAGCUCUCCAACUGGGAGCCCAGGAGCAAGGGAAUCUUGUGUUCUUGGUUGUUUUAAUCUGAAAUGGAGUUUCAAUCUGGUAAAGUUGGGAUCAAGGAGAGAGGUAGCAGAUCUUAGUUCAAGUACCAGACUCUUGCUUUUGCACUGAG
RNAcentral lists this long non-coding RNA (891 nucleotides) under Marmota monax (woodchuck). The record is from RNAcentral. Lineage: Eukaryota; Metazoa; Chordata; Mammalia; Rodentia; Sciuridae.